This 68-nucleotide transfer RNA is filed under the name Serratia rubidaea. Its description in RNAcentral is "tRNA-His(atg)". The record is from RNAcentral. Lineage: Bacteria; Pseudomonadati; Pseudomonadota; Gammaproteobacteria; Enterobacterales; Yersiniaceae.
GGGCGAUGGUGUAAGGGGAAACACACUCCUAUGGAGAGUAUUUGUGAGGUUCGAAUCCUCACCGCCAA